This is a long non-coding RNA of Gallus gallus (chicken), 1296 nucleotides long. The record is from Ensembl. Lineage: Eukaryota; Metazoa; Chordata; Aves; Galliformes; Phasianidae.
CUCUGCUCCAAGGACUGCUUCCCUAAGUCUCUGAGGUGCCUGAAUGGAAUAUCAGAUGGCUCCAAGCAGUUUCAUAUUGUGCCAGGCUUCUGUCUCACUCUUCAAAAAUGAAAACCUUCUGGAGAUGUGAAGGUGGGAAUUCCACCACUGUCCAAAGACUCCUGAAGGAGCCUACAGAUAAACUAGCGUGAAAGAGGCUCAAUUAUCUCCAGUCUCCAGUAGUCUCUGCAUGCUUGCUUAAAUAUUUAUUUUUCUGAUUUAUCUAUGAAUAUCUCAAUGACAUUAACUUAAGCAGAAAGAAUUCAAUGUAUUUUUGAGACAACUAUUCAGCUUUGUCUUUCACUCAUUCUUUUCAGUAUUCCCCACUGAGGAUCUGCAUGUUUCUUAGUGACCCAAAAGCAAAACUGUAAUGUCCUAGAAACAUCCAAGGCACAGAGGUGUGCUUCCAAAACCAGAAGCAUCUCUGGGUUUUGGGGAGAGAGGAACUUUUGUGAACAGCAGUUAAUGAAGACUACAAGACUUUUCACCUGUGCCUGGCUUUCCUACAGACUGACAAAGCCACAGUUUGACGUAUUUAUCUUAGAUGUUGUGACAGGUGUGUGGCCUCACUUCUUGGAAACUCAAAGAGUGCUGCGUUUCUGCUGGAAGUUAUGUACUCCAUUCUUGGAUCUGAGGACAGAGAAACCUGGAAGUGCUCUCUCUGAAAACAGGCACCAGCGUCUAUCAUCACAGCACAAAGAGAUGUCAGUGAGCUUCAGUCAAGCGUCUCAGAGAAAAGGACGAGAGCAUGCAAUAGUGCACUUGCUAGGCAAGAGUGACUCACUGAGUAUUUCAACAAGGAUUAUUUGCAAGCUGCUACCGAGUCCCACAUCAACACAUACUUCUUUCUUGAAAAUGGCUGCCAAAUUGUGAAGAACUGCUCCCAUAUCAGGUAGUAUUCCUGCUAAUUCUGUCAUAAUCAUGAUGAUUUUGGAGGUUAGGAAGACAGAAGUUAUUUCAUCCUUUGGUACAGAUAAUUAUGUGGUGUUUAAGGAACUCAGCAAUAACCCAGACCAUCCCUAAAAUACCUGCUAAAGUACAUCGGAGUUCAGAUGUUGUACUGAUGAUGCAAGCAGGAUUUUCAUGCGCUUUUCACACAACAGAAAUAAUAGAUGAAUGAAAACGUCUGCCAUGCAAAUGCGUCCCCGGAAUGGUAAAUGUGUUUGUGACCUACUUACUGAGUAGAGGUGAUCAACACAGUAUUGAUCUAUGCUGUUCUGUGGCUGCAGUAAUUAAGGAGCAUAACAAAUUGGGCAC